CUACAUUAUGAAUACCGGUUUUACAUACACGUACAUUAUAAGACUGAACAGUUGGAUAGCUUGUGCGUAAAUGAUCUUUUCGCUUCCAGCGGCUCCAACCCUGAGCAAUUUCUCUUCAAAUUAAAACAUAGAGAAGUCACAAGUGUGCUUCAUUGAUUUCACAAACAAAGGGUGACAAAAUCGACGUCCACAGGUACCCAUGUUCUACGUUAUGCAGUGCAGCUUGUGCGCAACCAGGUCACACAUGUUGAUUCCAUGGCAACUAGUUUCCGUGCAUGUCAAGUUGACCAGGAUGAUGGUGAAUGAAUUUGGAAACCAGAAUUCAGUGUUUAUUUUUAUUAUGAUGAUUAUUAUUUUUAACUUAGUUAAAUGCGAUUUAACUGAGUUAUCAACAAAGAGAAGCUGGCAUUCACCAGGCAGUCAGUGGUUCUUGGAUGUUAAGGCUGGCACAGUGGGCCCCAUCAUAUACAUGCAGUAUUAGCAUGAUCAGGCCUGAUGUGGUGAAGCGGUCUUUUGGUGGAGCUCCUGGUUAUAUAUUUGUCCCAUCUUUUUCUGACCCUCUUUCCCCAUCCCUUCUCAACUGUUAUUUCAGUAUGGCGGGUGCCUGGAUGACCAUGGGAUGGGAGCAUUUUACUGCCUAGGGGACAGCUGAUCACAUCCCAGGCACCCAUCUUCCUUACGACGUGAUGCAGUUGUUAAGUUGUGCAGUUGAAAACGCAUACUGCUCUGUUUUCACUCAACCAUAAAAUGAUGUCAAUCUGAGAUUUUUAGUCAGAAGAAUCUCAGGUAAAAGGUAGAGAGGAUUAAGGAUAGGAACGCACUGCAUUUACAUAGUUACAGUACAUGUGUUAUAUAUAAUUUUUCACAGUGAAGUAUUUCUUUCCAUUUUAGUGGAGAGAAAGAAAGCUACAAAAAAGAAAGCAAUACUUGAAGUCUAAUGUCAAGGAGCCAUUACAGAAGGGCACUGCAACAUCUACAUCUGCAAAAACAGCACAGAACCGACAAAAAGGAACAGUUCUAGUACCUUCUACAAAGUCAAUAAAAAGAUCUGAGGAUGCCAGUAACAGUUCUUCUACAACUCAAAAUGGAACCAUUGCUGAUAAGCAGUCAAUAAAGAAAUUCCAGGUUAUUUCAAGUUUAUUCAAGUACAAUCCUGAAAUACCCACAUUAUCUACAAGUACUGAAUCACCCAUUAAAGAAAGAAAUCAACAAAGUGAAACAGUGUUCUCUGGUGAUAAAUUUAGUGACCUGGAUCUGUCUACUUUUAUGAUAUCCAAUCUUGAAAACAACUUAAAGCUGACAAGCAUGACAAGGUACGGGUAAAGUUAGACCACUUCAUACGUACAUGUAUAUGCCACAUACAUGUACAUGUAGUACUUUAGAGACCGCAGUUUCACAGAUUAAUUAAAAAUGAACAAUGCUUAAAGGCAGACACCCCCUUCUUAGUC
Orbicella faveolata is the source of this 1448-nucleotide long non-coding RNA. NCBI's taxonomy places the organism in Eukaryota, Metazoa, Cnidaria, Anthozoa, Scleractinia, Merulinidae. The record is from RefSeq and is a predicted model, not a curated record.